GACGAACGCUGGCGGCGUGCUUAACACAUGCAAGUCGAACGGAAAGGCCCUGCUUUUGUGGGGUGCUCGAGUGGCGAACGGGUGAGUAACACGUGAGUGACCUGCCCUUGACUUUGGGAUAACUUCAGGAAACUGGGGCUAAUACCGGAUAGGAGCUCCUGCUGCAUGGUGGGGGUUGGAAAGAUUCGGCGGUUGGGGAUGGACUCGCGGCUUAUCAGCUUGUUGGUGGGGUAGUGGCUUACCAAGGCUUUGACGGGUAGCCGGCCUGAGAGGGUGACCGGCCACAUUGGGACUGAGAGACGGCCGAAACUCCUACGGGAGGCAGCAGGGGGGAAUAUUGCACAAUGGGCGGAAGCCUGAUGCAGCAACGCCGCGUGCGGGAUGACGGCCUUCGGGUGGUAAACCGCUUUCGCCUGUGACGAAGCGUGAGUGACGGUAAUGGGUAAAGAAGCACCGGCUAACUACGUG
This 468-nucleotide ribosomal RNA is filed under the name uncultured bacterium. Its description in RNAcentral is "partial 16S ribosomal RNA". It matches the Rfam family "Bacterial small subunit ribosomal RNA", at positions 28 to 507 of the family's 1533-position model. The record is from RNAcentral.